AAAGGAGAUACAACAAAGGACCAAGUACAGAACCUUGAGGUACGCCACAAUCAAGUUGAAGGGCUUCAGAAGAAAAAUCAUCAAUGGAAACAAAUUGAAAGCGAUCAGUGAGGACUGGAAAUGGAAGACGUGAGUUCUAAAAAAAACUUUUUUAUUGCAAAAGCUCCAGUAGGACUGAAGAUAAGUAAGUGAGGUAUAUUCUAAUAAAGGCUAUUGUCGUAAUAUUCCAUAGGCGUAAAACUUCUAUUUUUGAUAAUGAUUUACUAACAUCUUUUAAUCUUUUCGCUAUUAGAUCCAGGGAUGUUUUGUGUAAUAUCCCACUGCUACAAUAAGUGUAGUUUUUUUCGCUCAAAGGCAAGUACUUGAAAGUCGGUAGUGACAAGACCGUUCGCAAAAGUUUGAUUGAUCUUUUUUCGCGGUAUUAGGAAACGAUAAACCACCUUCUUUAAAUUGUAAAAACAUAUAAUAAACACAUAAAAAUAGGCAAAAUAAGGUAGUGAAGUUUCUAAUAAUCCCAACAAAAUACCCCCAAGCUACUUAAGUCAUCAUAAAGUGAGUCGAUAAGGUGCAGAAUAUAAACAAGUUUAUUGUGUUACUUCAUAUUUCUUAUGAGUAAUUAAUGACAUGUUUUUUUCACUACUUUGCUUAAAAACGGUUAUUUUUGGCACAUUAACUGUUUUUCCUGACAUCUUAUGGAUUUACCAGUUCGUUUGUUUGUUUGUUUUUUCUCGUUAAUUAAGCUACAGUUGUAAUUUUUCUAGAAAUUUCUUGAAAAAGACAGACAGACAGACAGACAGGCAGAGUGACAGAGAGAGCAGAGAUCGAAAGGCAACCAACUGGUAGUAUUAGGGUAACAAGGUUGCAUAACCAAGCGAGCGCAAGUAAUUCCGCUUCGACUCUAUUUUAACCAUUACCGCCCACGGACAAGGCAUUCGGCAAUAGUUAAUCCACUAAAAACUAUUAAAUAAGAAAUAAUUGCAGAUAAUUUUCGGAAAUAUAAAUGGGGAGGUGAAGAGAAGGUCUUAAUUUGAAAUUAUUGCUAGAACUUACUAGAUUGUUCUUCACUAGAUUGUUUUUUCCUUAAAUGAAUGCGUGAUUCUUUCUAGAUCUCAGUUGAAACUAUUUCAUUUUCACGAAAAAAAAUCUCUGAGAGAGUAAAAGCUAGGAGAUAAAAAAAAAAAAGACUUAACUCGAAGCCUUAAGGGUAAGUGGGAAAAUGUUUGAAACGCUUUCAAAUCUUGCUCAAACAAUGGAAAGAUGUGAAAAUUGCGAGACAAUAAAUAACAUGUGAUGUAACGAGGUAAAAGCGAAAGGUGAAAACUGCCAAUUGUUUUACAAAUUUGUUAAAACAAGAAUAGAACAACAGCUUAACAAUGAAAAUUUUUUUGGAGCAUAAAACAUGGUCGAAGUAUCAGUUGGUAUGCGUGGGCGUAUGUAUUUUCGCACUGUUAAGUUUAAUGGCAUAACGCUGUAAGAAGAAAUUAACGACACACUACCGCUUUCAAACCUGGAAAUUUUGACCUAUAUUUAUUCAAUUUCGAAACCGCUGUUCCUCACAGACUAAUUAUCAAAGCGAUAUACAGUAAUUACGAGAAAUAUUAUACGCCUUUCUUUCUUUAUGCAUCACGAAGUUUAAAACCCGUAUGAAUAGAAACACCAGCAUCUAAUGGAAACCCCAAGGAAAAUAGACUAAUGUUUCUAUCAAUAUUACAUGUGCAGGGGUAGAGAGACGUGACUGUGUCUUAGAUUAAAUUUAUUAUAGUAAAAUGAAAUAUUUCGUCUAGAAUCUGGUGAUAAGGGACUACACAGCGGGAGAUGUUGGAGUACUCCGGAAAUCUCUUCUCAGUUUUGUUUUCUAUUUUAUUUCUAUUUUAUUUUCGUAGUUAACACUGUUGGACUAGAAAAUGAGUUCCUUCAUUCGUUGUAUCUCCCAUCUGUGUCCUUUGAAAUUAAACUACCUAGAGCUAUAUAUCUUUGUUUGAAUAGUUAGCUGUGGAAAACUAUUUUUUAAACACGACUGGGAGUACAGAAUUUUAGACGAUUUGACACCUAAGUCCAUUUGGUAAUCUAUAUUCUAGCUUGCAAACAUAUAGUUGCUUUAGGGAAUGAAUAGUAUAAGCUCUGCUGCUUAUGAUUAGAUAUUUUCCCUAAGUAUCAGGUGAUCCGACUACAGACAGGUGACCAGCACGUCCGACCUUUUACAACUCUCAUUCGAAAUUAAGAUUUACUUACAAAUUUCAAGCUGUUUUUAGUAGAGCUUUUUCCUUAUUAGAAAGUAAAAUAGGCCAUUGUUUUUUUUUGGAAGAAUUAAUUGGAAGGGAGGGAACGGAAUGAAGUGAACUGAUAGCGAAUCAGAAUUCUCUAUACGUAGCCUUGGCAACGAAUGACUUGGUAUCCGUUUCAGUGGGAUUUUUAUUGAAAAAAACGUUUGAAAACCACAUCAAAAAUUUCCGGGGAAAGUUUCAAAUCUAAAGAAUAUAGUUAACGAACAAUCUCGUGUAGCAUUAUGUAGUUUUUUCUUCCUUAUGUGUAUGCUUUUAAGCUUAGUGUCAAAAAGAAAAAGACAGUUUAUCGGAAAUGAAAUGAUUUUUUUUCACAUUCACAGAGGAAGUAUGGAUUGAAACUUAAACGUUAUUUUUUUAUCUUAUUGAAAUUAUAGAAGAAAUAAUUGCAGAUUUAAUUGAAUUUUUCCUCGUUUCAUCGAAUAAUUUUAUUAUUUGUCUAGUGUCCCGUAUCCAUGAAUAAGUAAAUACUUUAUUUUCAAUAGGAAAACACGAAACUGUGCCCCGGCUCGUAGUCCAACAAAAAUGACAUAUUUCUCUGCCUUAUGCAGUAGCAUAGAGACUACACCAAGAUUUUUUCUUGAUUUUGAAGAUUCUAGCUAAUAUAAAUGACGAGUUUUCGUUUCGUGCAGUGAAACCAAUUUUGACACCUAAGAAGAAGAACUUCACACCUAGCAAAAGUUUUGAAAAAUAUUGUAAAGUGUCGCUGGAACACGUCAAGAAAGCACGCAGAUUCAUCCACGAUAUUUAUCGUGAUAGUUUGUUUGACAUUGCUAGGAACAAUAUUAGAUAAUCCGUGAGUUCUUUCGCCUCUUGGGAAACGACUCAUAUACAUCUUUCUAUGGGUCGGUCCCAAAAACGAAAGGGCCGCUAAAAUUCUUGCUAAAAUUGAGAGGAGAAGAUUGUUUUUGUUACGAAAAGAUUCAACAGAGGAACUUCAAAUUUCUAUAAGUUUUUGCAACGGCCAUCCGUGGCACAAGGAGAUUUAAAAUAUGCUCUUGAAAGCACAAAAAAAAAAAAAAAAAAAAAAAAAAAAGAAAAAAAAAAAAAAAAAAAAAAAAAAAAAAAAAUCCAAGCAAUGGGGGGAAAAUCCCAUUCCUAUUAUUCAAAGUGUAUCUUUUCAGUGCAAAUUGAAUAACAAUGAUCCCAGUUCAAAUUCUUAUUCUCAAGACAUCGUUUUUCGAAUCUUUUUGACUUCCAACACGAGCUGCCCAGCAGAAUGUAGAUCUAAUCCAAUCAAUUUUGAUUGGCGUAUCCAUUAGCAACUGCGGUUUCGUGUAUCCAGGUUUGCACAGCCGAUAACCGCGAAGAAUGAAGGGAAGACAAAUAUUCAAAGUCUAAAAUCCAUAAUAAAAAAAAGGUUUUGAACAUGUAAUAUGAGCAAUUUACAGAGAUAGAUAAGUAAGUGCAUUAAGUUGAAUUUCCUGUAGCGGGAAUAACUUAAACUGAAAUUCUCAGUUUUAAAAGAUGUUCAAUGAUCUUUAUUGUUAACCUCAAAUGUAAAGGUUCUUAAUGUUUUUUGGUCACAUUUUUUUACAAAUAAAAAGGAAGUCAUUAGUCUAUGCUUUUCUCGGCCAGUACGUGCUUAUAGAUGAUUACUUCAUACCAGUUUUUUUCGCUAUAAAUGGCUUGUUUUUUACUCGGACUUUCAAAACGUCCAAUCUCAAGUAAUUGAUGAUACGCACAGAUCACCUCCCUUUUCUCUCGAGAUGCUUCAAUCGUCUACAAUUCCCUCACGUCUUGGUAUCCUUAUCAUAAUAAGGCAGUUCAGACUGCUAUAACUAUUGUCUCCAUUCAUAACCUUUUAACUCCUUUGACUACUAAACUAAAAAAAAAAAAAACUCCGAAGAUUCAAUACGAUUGUUGUCAUAAUGCAUACGGCUCAAUGCAUAUGUUUAUUACAGGGGCUUAGCAAAUAUUUGGUUUAGGGUCCCUAGAUUUGAGAAGCUACGUGCUGGAUGGUAUUGGAAAGUCGUGUAAUGCUGCACGCAUAGAGCUACUACAGUCAUGAUAGUAAUACCAUGCAGCGUUGUAUUGGCUCCUUAAAAUAAAGACAAUGCACUACAAAGCGCUAAAAGGUAUUUUUCUAUGAUACAUGAGCCAAAGUCCCAGUUGAUUUGAACUAAAUUCUGGUUGAGUAAAUAUGUCAGGAUGUGGACGUGAUGUUAUCAGGGCAGUUGCGCGUUUGCUCGACAUCCGUUCGCGUUACGCCAAAAGCUCCCUAGGGAGGGUGGGGUGCGAACCUAAUAUUGAGGUGUACGUGCAGGUCACUAUCAAGGUAAAUACAUAUUUUUUUAAAACAUUGUUUUUUUUGUUUGUUUGUUUUUUUUGUGCUAGAGUCAUUUUUUUCGAUGGGAGGGUAGAGUGCGUAGGCAAAGACUUUCAGACUCAAGUUUUCUUGCAUGAAUUAUACACAAAUAAACAAGAAUUGGACUACCUC
Long non-coding RNA from Actinia tenebrosa (Australian red waratah sea anemone), 4722 nucleotides. RefSeq lists it as uncharacterized. Lineage: Eukaryota; Metazoa; Cnidaria; Anthozoa; Actiniaria; Actiniidae. The record is from RefSeq and is a predicted model, not a curated record.